This 1144-nucleotide long non-coding RNA is filed under the name Homo sapiens (human). RNAcentral describes it as "long independently transcribed non-coding RNA 2967 (LINC02967)". Lineage: Eukaryota; Metazoa; Chordata; Mammalia; Primates; Hominidae. The record is from RNAcentral.
GGAAAUGACUGACCUGAUGUGUGUUAUAACCCAUCUGAGCCCCCUACAACCACCAGUUUUGAAAUAAGAUUAAGAACUGGCCUUUUCCUAGGUGAUACAAGUGAAAUAAUAACUAGAACAGAAGAAAAAGGAAUCCCCAAACAAGUAACUUUAAGAUUUGACGCUUGUGCAGCCAUUAAUAGUAACAAGCUAGGAACAGGAUGUGGUUCUCUUAACUGGGAAAGGAGCUACAGAGUAGAAAAUAAAUAUGUUUGUCAUGAGUCAGGGGUUUGUGAAAAUUGUGCCUUUUGGCCAUGUGUUAUUUAGGCUACUUGGAAAAAGAACAAAAAGGACUUGGUUCAUCUUCAGAAAGGGGAAGCCAACCCCUCCUGUGCUGCCAGUCACUGUAACCCACUAGAACUAAUAAUUACCAAUCCCCUAGAUCCCCAUUGGAAAAAGGGAGAAUGUGUAACCCUGGGGAUCAAAGGGACAGGGUUAAACCCCCAAGUUGCCAUUUUAGUUCAAGGGGAGGUCCACAAGCACUCUCCCAAACCAGUGUUUCAAACCUUUUAUGAGGAGUUAAAUCUGCCAGCACCAGAACUUCUGAAAAAGAUAAAAAAUUUGUUUCUCCAAUUAGCAGAAAAUGUAGCUCAUUCCCUUAAUGUUACUUCUUGUUAUAUAUGCGGGGGAACCACUAUCAGAGACCGAUGGCCUUGGGAAGCCUGAGAGUUGGUGCCCACUGAUCCAGCUCCUGAUAUAAUGGGGGCUUGUCCAGGAUCUCAUCAGGACUGGAUGGCUCUCGCUGGACUAUACUGGAUAUGUGGGCAGAGAGCCUACAUUCAGUUACCUAAUGAAUGGGCAGACAGUUGUGUUAUUGGCACUAUUAAGCCAUCCUUUUUCUUAUUACCGAUAAAAACUACUGGUACUAUCUGUAAAUUCCAGACAUUGUAUGAGAAAGCACUGUAAAACUUUUUGUUCUGUUAGCUGAUAUAUGUAGCCUCCAGUCACAUUCCUCAUGCUUACUUGAUCUAUCAUGACCCUUUCACGUGGACCCCUUAGAGUUGUAAGCCCUUAAAAGGGCUAGGAAUUUCUUUUUGGGGGAGCUUGGCUCUUAAGACAUGAGUCUGCCAAUGCUACCGGCCAAAUAAAAACCUCUUCCUUCUUU